RNAcentral lists this unclassified non-coding RNA (220 nucleotides) under Hevea brasiliensis (rubber tree). The record is from RNAcentral. Lineage: Eukaryota; Viridiplantae; Streptophyta; Magnoliopsida; Malpighiales; Euphorbiaceae.
GCUUUAUGGGAAGCAAGAUCAAGCAUAUUUGAGAAGCCUGCUGAUUCACUUGAUGGCACUUCACACAGUGAAUUAAUAACAAAAACUCCAUCAAAGAGCAGGACUAGUAUUCUCUAUAACUUUUCUUCUGAUUAUAUACUCAGGGAGCAGUAUAGGAACCCUUGGAAUGAGGUCAGGAUGGGGAAGUUGGUUGAAGAUCUCGAUGCUCUUGCUGGAACCA